This 70-nucleotide transfer RNA is filed under the name Pigmentiphaga litoralis. RNAcentral describes it as "tRNA-Ser". Lineage: Bacteria; Pseudomonadati; Pseudomonadota; Betaproteobacteria; Burkholderiales; Alcaligenaceae. The record is from RNAcentral.
CGCGGCCUGUCGGGGUGCAACGGCGGUACUGCCGCCGUCGGGUUCCGGUUUGGGUUCGGGGGCCGUGGCC